Molecule: ribosomal RNA, 497 nt
Filed under: uncultured bacterium
Lineage: Bacteria
Description: partial 16S ribosomal RNA
Rfam family: Bacterial small subunit ribosomal RNA
Source: RNAcentral
GUUGAACGCUGGCGGCGUGCCUAACACAUGCAAGUCGAACGGUAGCAGGAGACACCUUCCUUCUUGACUUACGCGUGGCAGGGGGGUGUAUAAUGUGGAUGAAACUCCUCUAUGGCUGGGAUAAACUCGUGGAAACGGUACCUAAUACGGCUUAACUUUUGAACAGCAAGGUUCAGGAGCGUAAGGCCGCCUUCCAGUCGAUUUUAGCUGAUUCCGUUCGGCAUUAGCUAGUUGGUCAGGUAACGGCUUACCAAGGCGACGAUGCAUAGCCGACCUGAGAGGGUGAUCAGCCACACUGGAACUGAGACACGGUCCAGACUCCUACGGGAGGCAGCAGUAGGGAAUAUUCCGCAAUGGGCGCAAGCCUGACGGAGCAACGCCGCGUGAGUGAAGAAGGUCUUCGGAUCGUAAAACUCUGUUAUUAGGGAAGAACAUAGGUGAAAGAAACUGUGCACAUCUUGACGGUACCUACACAGAAAGCCACGGCUAACUACGUG